GGGAACCCUCGGUGUGGGGGGUGUGGGGGGUGUGGGGGGCAGCCUGAGCCGCUCACUGCCGUUGCCUCUCUAUAGGUCGAGUUUGCCAUCAGCCGGGUCCAGAUGAAUUUCCUGCACCUGCUAAGUUCCGAGGUGACCCAGCACAUCACCAUCCACUGCCUUAACAUGACCGUGUGGCAGGAGGGCACUGGGCAGACCCCAGCCAAGCAGGCCGUACGCUUCCGGGCCUGGAAUGGACAGAUUUUUGAAGCUGGGGGUCAGUUCCGGCCCGAGGUGUCCAUGGAUGGCUGCAAGGUCCAAGAUGGCCGCUGGCAUCAGACACUCUUCACCUUCCGGACCCAAGACCCCCAACAGCUGCCCAUCAUCAGUGUGGACAAUCUCCCUCCUGCCUCAUCAGGGAAGCAGUACCGCCUGGAAGUUGGACCUGCGUGCUUCCUCUGACCUCUGACCUCUUGGCCACUCUAGGCCUCAUGGAGGAGGGAAGAGGAAGAGGCAAGGGGAGGGUACUGAGGGGCAGAUGGCUCCAGGAGAGGCAGCUCCCCUGCCCAAGGGUCCUUGGGCAGACCCCAGCUGUUGUCUGCCCAGUAGAAGUGGGUGGGGGUAGGAGGGGAUAGGGUGUCCUUGGGAACAAUGGAUCCCAGCUUAGCCCCAAAGACCAACCAAAGAGCCAGCCAGAGUAAGCUGGACCUGCAACCUGCCUGAGCCCCAUGGCCUCUCAGCUCUGCGGCCACCCCGUUCCCUCCCCAGCUUCCUGCCCAAAGAGCCCCACAUUCAAGCCAACUUGAGGGAAGGGGGCGUCUCGUCAGCUGGUCCCUGCUAGGGAGCUAUUGAUGUGCAAUAUUAGAAAGGAGACAUGAAAAAAGGAGAAAAGGAAAGACAGAAGUAUAUAUAUAUAUUAUUUAAACAAACAAAAAGAAGGUGCGUUACUAUUUUUUUUUCACCCGGGAAAGAGGUGAGAGGAUGGGAAGGAGCAGCCAGGCGUGGGAAGCGGCGAGAUCCUCGGGCUGGGGGUGCCCACGUUUGCUACCUCCCACUGUGAAAUCGCUGGUGCUCGCAAUUGUCUCUCAUAGUGUAUGUGAUUUUUUUAAGGAAAAAAAAAAAAACAACCCUAUUUAAGAUUCUGAAGGUGCUACCAUUAUUUUGCCACAGACUUUGAAGAAACUUUUGGAUGUGGGGCAUCAUCCGCAUCUUUCUCUCUCCUCCAAAUGACAAAGUUUGGGGAAUUUUUGAAUUUUCCUAGCAUCGCCCUUGUGCUCAUCAGGUAAUCUGCUAAGGAGGAAAAAAGAAAAGAAAAAAGGAAAAAAAAAAAAAGCAAAACAAAAACAAAAACAAAAACAAAACCCUACCGGAAACCAGAAGUAGAGAGAUUUACCGUAUAACUUAUGGACUUUGAAAUGUCUGUCCUUUUAAGGCAGCAGGGAGGCCUGGGUGCGAAGCAUGUUGGCUUGGCCCUUCACGGUCCUGGAGGGAGGUGAGGCUGGCCUUGGAAGGCGUGCCCUGGAGAGGUCUUGGGUGAAAACUUGACCUUGAAGAAACCAAUCACAAAAGCGGCGUUGGGUCAGGGCUAGCCUUAGAGGUGAAGCAUCAACAUGGAACCAUCUCAGGAAGCCGCAUCGCCUCUUCCGAGGUCCUCAGUUCCAGGAGCCUGUCCUUGCAAGAUGCAAUCAUCGUUCCUGCUUUUUCAUUGUCAUUAAAUUCUGUAGAAACCCAUUGUCAUUAGCUCCAAGUGUAAAUUUGGGUCAAGGAGACAGAAUAAUAAUGGGAAUCUCGGAGUUCGACACCAUAGUGACAUUCAGCGUCCUCUGAAUUGUGCUACAUCAGCGAACAAGUUGGCGCUUGAAUUGGAUUUUGAGGUUAUUUUAACCAUGGAAUUAUUUUUAUAGAAGGGGAAAAUGUAUGUGAAAGUCUCUAUUGUGUAUUUCUCUCCUAAAGUUGUGUCUCUUUGGGAAUUGGAUUUGAUUUUUAUUAUUUAAUACCUCACUUUGGCCCGUCCCCCCUCCCGACACUUCUGUAUCCUCGCCCUGCCGCCCCAGCCUGGACGCUCUGCGUGGAAGUGCAUGUUUGUAGCAGCUGGGGCCUCAUCUCAGCGCUCGGAUCCCUCCUGCCGCCAGAAUCCGCUGGCCUCUGUCUCAUUCUUGGGUUUUCCUGCUGUCUUCGUUUACGUCUCUGUCCACAUGUCAAUGUAUUAAAACCCCAAUGGGUUCCGUUUCUCCUUUUCC
RNAcentral lists this long non-coding RNA (2219 nucleotides) under Pan troglodytes (chimpanzee). Its description in RNAcentral is "long non-coding RNA NONPTRT017593". Lineage: Eukaryota; Metazoa; Chordata; Mammalia; Primates; Hominidae. The record is from RNAcentral.